GACGAACGCUGGCGGCGUGCCUAAUACAUGCAAGUCGAGCGAAGUUUUUCUGGUGCUUGCACUAGAAAAACUUAGCGGCGAACGGGUGAGUAACACGUAAAGAACCUGCCUCAUAGACUGGGACAACUAUUGGAAACGAUAGCUAAUACCGGAUAACAGCAUUAACUGCAUGGUUGAUGUUUAAAAGUUGGUUUUGCUAACACUAUGAGAUGGCUUUGCGGUGCAUUAGCUAGUUGGUGGGGUAAAGGCCUACCAAGGCGACGAUGCAUAGCCGACCUGAGAGGGUGAUCGGCCACACUGGGACUGAGACACGGCCCAGACUCCUACGGGAGGCAGCAGUAGGGAAUCUUCCGCAAUGGGCGAAAGCCUGACGGAGCAACGCCGCGUGAGUGAAGAAGGAUUUCGGUUCGUAAAGCUCUGUUGUUAGGGAAGAAUGAUUGUGUAGUAACUAUACACAGUAGAGACGGUACCUAACCAGAAAGCCACGGCUAACUACGUGCCAGCAGCCGCGGUAAUACGUAGGUGGCAAGCGUUGUCCGGAAUUAUUGGGCGUAAAGCGCGCGCAGGUGGUUUAAUAAGUCUGAUGUGAAAGCCCACGGCUCAACCGUGGAGGGUCAUUGGAAACUGUUAAACUUGAGUGCAGGAGAGAAAAGUGGAAUUCCUAGUGUAGCGGUGAAAUGCGUAGAGAUUAGGAGGAACACCAGUGGCGAAGGCGGCUUUUUGGCCUGUAACUGACACUGAGGCGCGAAAGCGUGGGGAGCAAACAGG
RNAcentral lists this ribosomal RNA (768 nucleotides) under uncultured bacterium. RNAcentral's name for it is "bacterial SSU rRNA". It matches the Rfam family "Bacterial small subunit ribosomal RNA", at positions 28 to 776 of the family's 1533-position model. The record is from RNAcentral.